GCUGAUCAAAGACCGCGGUACUUUGCUACACACAAGAGACUUUGCCCCUUGUCUCUACCUCUCGCAAAGGGGCUAAGGUCCGAGUAAACUGUCCCUCAAUGUCGGUGCCUCGUGCCCUUCAUUGGCUACGUCCUGUCGAGUCAGAAGCGCCCGCAAGGGUUCGUGGACGGCAGACGGCAGUGACAAGAGCUCGAGACGAGCCGAUCGGUCAUCUCGAUACGCGUGCGCUACCAGAAAUACCUCUGGUCUUUGCUUCUUUACUUUCCCAAAGACGCUUCUCAAAAGGAAGACGAGGGAGAUAAGAAGUCUGAUCAGAUUGGCAAUGGUGCAUAGGGACUGCCCUUUGCUUGUUUCACGAUUGCGAUGUCGUCCCAUCCAUCGGGACAGCGAAGCGGCUUGAGUGCAAUCCGCGGUGUGCUACCCACACAUGCUCUUCCAGAGCGUGCGCAUAACUCAAUUCGGACUACUCUUGAUCAGC
Molecule: RNase P RNA, 478 nt
Filed under: Mixia osmundae IAM 14324
Lineage: Eukaryota; Fungi; Basidiomycota; Mixiomycetes; Mixiales; Mixiaceae
Description: Nuclear RNase P
Rfam family: Nuclear RNase P
About the family: Ribonuclease P (RNase P) is a ubiquitous endoribonuclease, found in archaea, bacteria and eukarya as well as chloroplasts and mitochondria. Its best characterised activity is the generation of mature 5'-ends of tRNAs by cleaving the 5'-leader elements of precursor-tRNAs.
Source: Rfam by way of RNAcentral